CCUUCCAGGACCACUUUGCAGUACCAUUUCCUGGCAUGGAAAGACUUCGGAGUGCCGGAGGACCAAGAAAGUCUACUGCAGCUCAUCAGCGCUGUCAAGACUGACCUGGUAGCUGUGACACCUGCUGCCAACCAGCACAUUGUCGUGCAUUGCAGUGCGGGUGUGGGGAGGACGGGAAGCUUCAUUGCUGUCUGGAACUUGUGUCAUUUGUUCAAGCUUCAUCGACGAGAGACGAGCGUUCAGAGCGUCGUGCUGGCACUACGAGAGUCCAGAACAAAGCUUGUCCAAACAAAGGACCAGUACCUGUACGUAAACAAAUGCUACGAAGCCUUCCGAAAAUCUCCAGACCGCUGGCCUCUGCCAGAGUACGCUCCUCCCAAGAAUGGCAUCGCUGAACCUGCUAUAUAUGAGAACUGGACUGGGAAUCAAGUCGACGACGAUGAGAACUUCUAUGAGAACUUCGACAUGACCCCCAAAUGAGUGCAGCAUUACGUGCGUGCCAUUCAUGAUAAAUAUUAACUCGCUUAAUAAUCGGGUACUAUGCAGAACUACUCAUCCUAUAUUGUAUUUAAACGAAGUUUUAAUGCAUAGUAACAAAGGACCGGUAAAUAACUUGAAAAUUGAGCAAUAGAGUAUAGUUCGUAAAUAAGAAGCCAUGACCGAGGAACUAGUGAGCGGCUCAAUUUUUUCAUCAACGACGAUUAAUUUCUCCGAUAACUUGGCCGGAAGUUCGUGUUCUUAGUUUUAAAGUGGAAAUAAUAAGUGCGUGUUACAACUUAUGUUCACCAGUAGAAAAAUGGGAUAUAGAGAAUUCUUUGAAAAGCUAAAUUCGAACUGAAUGCGAUUGUAGGACACAUACCAUUGUUGAAUAUUACUGUUGAAAGGAUAAGUUAUUUAUUAGGCACAAAAUUUAUCACUUGGUGUGGAGAAAAUUAGUCUUGGCGUCUAACGCGUGCAUUAUUUUAUUCAGCCGUCUAGCGUUCAUUCGAAUAAUGUAAAAAUUAUUUUUUUU
This is a long non-coding RNA of Hyalella azteca, 1012 nucleotides long. RefSeq lists it as uncharacterized. The transcript has 4 exons. Lineage: Eukaryota; Metazoa; Arthropoda; Malacostraca; Amphipoda; Hyalellidae. The record is from RefSeq and is a predicted model, not a curated record.